UCCCAUUUCUCAGCGGCGGACGGGUGAGUAACACGUGGGCAACCUGCCCUGCAGACUGGGAUAACUCCGGGAAACCGGAGCUAAUACCGGGUAAUACAUAGCAUCGCAUGAUGCAACGUUGAAAGUUGGCUUUCGAGCUAACACUGUAGGAGGGGCCCGCGGCGCAUUACCUAGUUGGUAAGGUAACGGCUUACCAAGGCCACAAUGCGUAGCCAACCUGAGAGGGUGAUCGGCCACACUGGGACUGAAACACGGCCCAAACUCCUACGGGAGGCAGCAUUAGGGAAUCUUCCGCAAUGGACAAAAGUCUGACGGAGCACCGCCCCGUGAGUGACAAAGGCCUUCGGGUCGUAAAGCUCUGUUGUUAGGGAAAAACAAGUACCGUUCGAAUAGGGCGGUACCUUGACGGUACCUAACCAAAAAGCCACGGCUAACUACUUGCCACCAGCCGCGGUAAUACUUAGGUGGCAAGCGUUGUCCGGAAUUAUUGGGCGUAAAGCGCGCGCAGGCGGUCUCUUAAUUCUGAUGUGAAA
This 533-nucleotide ribosomal RNA is filed under the name Bacillus sp. (in: firmicutes). RNAcentral's name for it is "bacterial SSU rRNA". It matches the Rfam family "Bacterial small subunit ribosomal RNA", at positions 83 to 599 of the family's 1533-position model. Lineage: Bacteria; Bacillati; Bacillota; Bacilli; Caryophanales; Bacillaceae. The record is from RNAcentral.